CGCAAGCCUGACGGAGCAACGCCGCGUGAGGGAGGAAGGCCUGUGGGUCGUAAACCUCUUUUCUCAAGGAAGAAGUUCUGACGGUACUUGAGGAAUCAGCAUCGGCUAACUCCGUGCCAGCAGCCGCGGUAAGACGGAGGAUGCAAGCGUUAUCCGGAAUUAUUGGGCGUAAAGCGUCCGCAGGUGGCGAUUCAAGUCUGCUGUCAAAGCACGGGGCUUAACUCCGUAAAGGCAGUGGAAACUGAAUAGCUAGAGUGCCGUAGGGGUAGAGGGAAUUCCCGGUGUAGCGGUGAAAUGCGUAGAGAUCGGGAAGAACAUCGGUGGCGAAAGCGCUCUACUGGACGGCAACUGACACUCAGGGACGAAAGCUAGGGGAGCG
RNAcentral lists this ribosomal RNA (379 nucleotides) under uncultured cyanobacterium. RNAcentral describes it as "bacterial SSU rRNA". It matches the Rfam family "Bacterial small subunit ribosomal RNA", at positions 376 to 770 of the family's 1533-position model. The record is from RNAcentral. Lineage: Bacteria; Bacillati; Cyanobacteriota.